UACGGGGGGAGCAAGCGUUGUUCGGAUUUACUGGGCGUAAAGGGCGCGUAGGCGGCCACCGCAAGUCAAUUGUGAAAUCUCCGGGCUUAGCUCGGAAAGGUCAACUGAUACUGCGGGGCUAGAGUGCGGAAGGGGCAACUGGAAUUCUCGGUGUAGCGGUGAAAUGCGUAGAUAUCUGGAGGAACACCGGUGGCGAAGGCGGCAUCCUGGACCGAUAUUGACGCUGAGGAGCGAAAGCCAGGGGAGCAAACGGG
This 254-nucleotide ribosomal RNA is filed under the name uncultured bacterium. RNAcentral's name for it is "partial 16S ribosomal RNA". It matches the Rfam family "Bacterial small subunit ribosomal RNA", at positions 524 to 776 of the family's 1533-position model. The record is from RNAcentral.